Molecule: ribosomal RNA, 449 nt
Filed under: uncultured prokaryote
Description: bacterial SSU rRNA
Rfam family: Bacterial small subunit ribosomal RNA
Source: RNAcentral
UGGGGAAUUUUGCGCAAUGGGCGAAAGCCUGACGCAGCGACGCCGCGUGUACGAUGAAGGCCUUUGGGUCGUAAAGUACUGUCAACGGGGACGAACGCCUCAGGUUGAAUAGGUCUGAGGUCUGACGGUACCCGUGGAGGAAGCACCGGCUAACUCUGUGCCAGCAGCCGCGGUAAUACGGAGGGGGCAAGCGUUGUUCGGAUUUACUGGGCGUAAAGGGCGCGUAGGCGGACGGUCAAGUCAGAGGUGAAAGGCCCGGGCUCAACCUGGGACGUGCCUUUGAAACUGAUUGUCUUGAGUGCGGAAGAGGGUGACGGAAUUCCCAGUGUAGAGGUGAAAUUCGUAGAUAUUGGGAAGAACACCGGUGGCGAAGGCGGUCACCUGGUCCGCAACUGACGCUGAGGCGCGAAAGCGUGGGGAGCAAACAGGAUUAGAUACCCGUGUAGUCC